Molecule: long non-coding RNA, 1127 nt
Organism: Oncorhynchus tshawytscha (Chinook salmon)
Lineage: Eukaryota; Metazoa; Chordata; Actinopteri; Salmoniformes; Salmonidae
Source: Ensembl
CAAAGGUCCCUCCAGUCUCCUCUUCUCUCCUGCUCUGUCCUGUCCUUCUGGUACCUCAGACCCUGGCUACUCACCUCCUCAGACAGCUCAGUGUGUUCUCUAGAAGGGGUUUGUUACAACCUCUACAGGUGGUCUCCUCACUACAGAAGACAUGGACACCUGGGAACCCAACCUGGUGCGGUAGAUCCAUUAAGGCCAGUUUCCCCUCUGAAAGCCUUCACAUGUCCUGUGACCUGAUGGGAAUAAUAUUGAAUCCCUCCAUGUGGACAGUCCCACCCCUGGUCCCAGGGCAGAGCUUCAGCUACGUCCAUGGGGCCUCCUCAGUGUCCCUGCUGGGCCAGACGGUGGGUCAGAGUUUGCAGGCGGCAGCUGACCGCUGGCCCCACAGAGAGGCCCUGGUGUUCGUGCAGGAUGGAGUCCGUAAGACCUUCUCCCAGUUUCAGGAGGACGUAGGUCUUUCAUCCACCCUCUCUUCUAAUCUAUUUCAUCAUAUCUUAACAUAACAGGACUGUAGAGGUUUAGGAGGGGUAACAUAACAGGACUGUAGAGGUUUAGGAGGGGUAACAUAACAGGACUGUAGAGGUUUAGGAGGGGUAACAUAACAGGACUGUAGAGGUUUAGGAGGGUAACAUAACAACAGGACUGUAGAGGUUUAGGAGGGGUAACAUAACAGGACUGUAGAGGUUUAGGAGGGGUAACAUAACAGGACUGUAGAGGUUUAGGAGGGGUAACGUAACAGGACUGUAGAGGUUUAAGAGGGGUAACAUAACAACAGGACUGUAGAAGUUUAGGAGGGGUAACAUACAUGUACUAUGAUUCUGUUAUACUGAAAUAAAAUAUAAAUGCAGCAUCUAAAGUGUUGGUCCCAUCUUUCAUGCGCUAAAAAAAAGAUCCCAGAAAUGUUCCAGAUGUACAAAAAGCUUAUUUCUUUCAAACUGUGUGCGCAAAAUUGUUAACAUCCCUGUUAAUUAGCAUGUUAUCCUUUGAUUACAGCCUCAAGUCUUCUUGGGUAUGACACUACAAGUUCAGCACACCUAUAUUUGGGGAGUUUCUCCCAUUCUGCUCUGCAGAUCCUCUCAACCUCUGUCAGGUUGGACGGGGAGCGUCGCUACACAGCUAAUUUCAGG